UACGUAGGGUGCGAGCGUUAUUCGGAAUUACUGGGCGUAAAGCGUGCGUAGGCGGUUCUCCAAGUCCGUUGUGAAAGCCCCGGGCUCAACCUGGGAAUGGCAGUGGAAACUAGGGGACUGGAAUCUGGCAGAGGGGGGUGGAAUGCCGCGUGUAGCAGUGAAAUGCGUAGAUAUCAGGAGGAACACCGGUGGCGAAGGCGGCUCUCUGGACCACAACUGACGCUGAGGCGCGAAAGCUAGGGGAGCAAACAGG
Molecule: ribosomal RNA, 253 nt
Filed under: uncultured bacterium
Lineage: Bacteria
Description: partial 16S ribosomal RNA
Rfam family: Bacterial small subunit ribosomal RNA
Source: RNAcentral